UAAUACAUGCAAGUCGAGCGAACUGAUUAGAAGCUUGCUUCUAUGACGUUAGCGGCGGACGGGUGAGUAACACGUGGGCAACCUGCCUGUAAGACUGGGAUAACUUCGGGAAACCGAAGCUAAUACCGGAUAGGAUCUUCUCCUUCAUGGGAGAUGAUUGAAAGAUGGUUUCGGCUAUCACUUACAGAUGGGCCCGCGGUGCAUUAGCUAGUUGGUGAGGUAACGGCUCACCAAGGCAACGAUGCAUAGCCGACCUGAGAGGGUGAUCGGCCACACUGGGACUGAGACACGGCCCAGACUCCUACGGGAGGCAGCAGUAGGGAAUCUUCCGCAAUGGACGAAAGUCUGACGGAGCAACGCCGCGUGAGUGAUGAAGGCUUUCGGGUCGUAAAACUCUGUUGUUAGGGAAGAACAAGUACGAGAGUAACUGCUCGUACCUUGACGGUACCUAACCAGAAAGCCACGGCUAACUACGUGCCAGCAGCCGCGGUAAUAC
This 496-nucleotide ribosomal RNA is filed under the name uncultured marine bacterium. RNAcentral's name for it is "bacterial SSU rRNA". It matches the Rfam family "Bacterial small subunit ribosomal RNA", at positions 49 to 526 of the family's 1533-position model. The record is from RNAcentral.